Molecule: long non-coding RNA, 439 nt
Filed under: Eutrema salsugineum
Lineage: Eukaryota; Viridiplantae; Streptophyta; Magnoliopsida; Brassicales; Brassicaceae
Description: long non-coding RNA (ESAL_LNC001824)
Source: RNAcentral
GCUCGGCCCAGCAGGAACCAAGGAGAAUCAGGAAGAGGCCGCAAUAUAAGCCCACGCAGUCGCAGGUGUUUGGACCGCGGGAAACCCAUCAUCGACCGCGGUCGCGUGAAUAUGACCGCGGCCAAGCACUUGGUUGCCGCGGUCGUAUGGCCCCUGACCGCGGCACUUGGUCGUUGAGAUCAAACCCGACCCCAAACCACCCACUUCACCCCAUUCCACCUCACCAAUCACCCUCCACCUCAUUCAUCACCUUCCACCACCUUCAUCACCACCUAUCACCUUCCCAAACCCCUUCGAACGAAUCUGGUUCAUCUCCACCAGCAUCCCGGAUCCAGGUAAGUUCUCUUUGUCCUUACCAAUUCAAUUAUCUAUGCAUUUUUCUCAUCCAAUCUCGACUUGUUUCACACUGAGGACAGUGUGAUUUAAGUCUGGGGGAGGA